GGUUCAAGCUUUGGGCUUUCUUCAAUCGGCUGAAGAUUUUUUGGCUGGAGUUUCAGUUAGAUCGAUCAUUAAUCUUGGAUUUUUGGGCUGGAGUUUCUGCUUUAUUUGGCUACUAUAGAAUGCUAGAGAUUUUGCAUUUUGUGGUGUAACCUUCUUGUGGUUGUGAAGUAUAUGUGUGAUCCAGUUCUGCAAACGUUUGCUGCAUAAUUAUCCGGGUCAAUUGUCAGCGGCAUCACUGCUUCUGUGAGUUGGGCUGAUGCUUUUAAGGGGCCUUUUUCUACAGAAAUUGCUGCAUAUUUUCAUGCUUCCGUAUGGGAUUAUUCAUAUGUCAGACCUUCGGCUUUGUUUUGGUGAUUGGUUUGUCUAUAUUGUUGGCUCUGUUUGAUGUCUAUUGUACUGCAAUUUACUGAUGUUGUGCUUGUGAAGGAUGGUUUGUACAUCUGUCCAUGUUUUUCUCUUAGCUUGCCAUUGCCUAGGUUGGGCGCAAGGGAAUGGCCUAUUAGCUUGGUAUUAGUUGGCAAUGUCCAUGCUAGUUCAUCCUUGUUU
Molecule: unclassified non-coding RNA, 546 nt
Filed under: Hevea brasiliensis (rubber tree)
Lineage: Eukaryota; Viridiplantae; Streptophyta; Magnoliopsida; Malpighiales; Euphorbiaceae
Source: RNAcentral